RNAcentral lists this ribosomal RNA (460 nucleotides) under uncultured organism. RNAcentral's name for it is "bacterial SSU rRNA". It matches the Rfam family "Bacterial small subunit ribosomal RNA", at positions 28 to 507 of the family's 1533-position model. The record is from RNAcentral.
GACGAACGCUGGCGGCGUGCUUAACACAUGCAAGUCGAACGAUGAUGCCUCUUCGGGGGCGGAUUAGUGGCGAACGGGUGAGUAACACGUGAGUAACCUGCCCUCCUCUCUGGGAUAACUGUGGGAAACUGCAGCUAAUACUGGAUAUUCUCUCUUCCUCGCAUGGGGUUGGGUGGAAAGUUUUUUCGGUGGGGGAUGGACUCGCGGCCUAUCAGCUUGUUGGUGAGGUAGUGGCUUACCAAGGCUUUGACGGGUAGCCGGCCUGAGAGGGCGACCGGCCACACUGGGACUGAGAUACGGCCCAGACUCCUACGGGAGGCAGCAGUGGGGAAUAUUGCACAAUGGGCGGAAGCCUGAUGCAGCAACGCCGCGUGCGGGAUGACGGCCUUCGGGUUGUAAACCGCUUUCAGUCGGGACGAAUGUGACGGUACCGACAGAAGAAGCACCGGCUAACUACGUG